Molecule: small nuclear RNA, 19 nt
Filed under: Arabidopsis thaliana (thale cress)
Lineage: Eukaryota; Viridiplantae; Streptophyta; Magnoliopsida; Brassicales; Brassicaceae
Description: snRNA_17103
Source: RNAcentral
AAUCCGGGCUAGAAGCGAC